RNAcentral lists this long non-coding RNA (3388 nucleotides) under Olea europaea subsp. europaea. The record is from RNAcentral. Lineage: Eukaryota; Viridiplantae; Streptophyta; Magnoliopsida; Lamiales; Oleaceae.
CAUGAACCAGUAAAUGCAUUUCUAACUCAUCAACAGCCCUAAAAUUUAAAUCCCACGCAGCCACACUGAUGAUACCGCAGAGAGAAUCGUCUAUGGUGAUUCGCUGAUUCAUCAUUCAUAUUUUUGGAUUUUGCUCUUCUAGGUAAUAAAUCAACACCCUCUUCUUGUAAAAUUUUUGUGAUUUGUUUAUCGGUAUGUUCUUUUGACCUCGUCUACUUAAAGUCUUAAAGGACUGUUUGAUUGAAUGCUUACAAAAUGAUUCAACCUAAUAAACUUAAAGGCAGUGGAAUUCUGGUGAUUGGUUCGUCACUUUGUCUUCAGGUCUUCUUGUUAUCUAUGGAAAAAAAAAUUGGGAAUUUUGAAUAAGAGUUCAUCAUAGAUCCGAAUUGUUUGGUUGUUCAGAAUCUGCAUUUUACUGGAUGGUAUAUUAAUACAGUAUUACGGUAUAUUACAUUAUCACUGGAUGGUAUAGAUCCGAAUUCUUUGGUCUGUAUGUGUUUGAAUUUUUGGAAUUUUAAUAAAGUAGUACGGUAUAUUAAUUGGCUACAUUGUAAUUUUUUUAUUUUUCGUUAUCGAUAUUCGAGUUUGAUUUUUCUUAAAAACUAAUUUAAAUGUUGUUGACGUUUAGAGUUUAGCUCUUGUGACUUUUUCAGAAACCUGGUCAUCGAUAUGUAAUCAGCGGUGUAUUGGUAUGGGAUUUGGGAGUAAUUCAUUGCAGCUUAGUUGAGAAAGCUAGAUAAUUAAUUUGGUUAGUUUAUUAUUCUCUGUAGUUUCGUUUGAAGACGACAAAUUCAGAAAGGGAUCUUUAUUUAUUGAAGUGACAAAAUUUCUCUCUCUCUUAAUGUCUAGGAUCAAAGAGUGUGAUACAAUAAUGUUCAUAAUUAUUCUUAUAAUCUUAUUCAUAUUUAAAUUAAGUUGGUUAAAUUAUGAAAAUAUUUUAGUUUUAACUUCCACUUAUGACUUGUACAUUUUAGUUGGCAGCUGACAGCCCAAUUGUGGAGUGGAGAUAUAAGCUGCUUGAUGAAAAGAGAUUAUUAUCAAUUUCAAGUUUAGACAUCAUUCUCAAUUUCAAUUUUCAAGUAAUGACUUUCUCUAACUUGAUGAAAUAGAAUUGUUCAUGAAAUUAAUUGCUGUGUAUUAUGAUUUAUGAAUUUCGUGUUGCCCUUUGAUGAAAAACGAAAUAUGAUAUUAAUAAAUUUAUGUAUUGAAUUUGAAUUUGUAACAGUUAUGGAGAAAUAUUUUAAAUGAAAAUCCGUAUUUUCAAGUGGAGAGCAAAAUGUGGUUGAAGCGAGCGUUCAAGAUAAAAUAGAUGACCGAGAAGAAACAAAUAUUGGGGGUAAAAUAGAUGUUCAAGACAAAUUGAUUUAGCACAACUUCCUUCAAAUCCCGGAUUAAGAACUCCAAUUGUGAAUUACAAUGUUAAUGUCCGGGAUGAAAUUCGAACAACAUAUAUACAAAGGGGUCUAUGUCAGCCUCAAAAUCAUAAGUAUCCACAAAAAGAAUUUGGAGAUUCAUCUUUAAGGCUAUUUAAAUCUUCUUGGUUUAAUGACUUCCCUGAUUGCUUGGAAUAUAGUAUAGAAAAAGAUGUUCUAUUUUGUUUUUAUUAUUAUCUUUUCAAAUCAAUAGUGAAGAACAUGGUGGUGGUAAUGCUUUUGUUGAUGAAGGGUUUUCAAAUUGGAAAAAGAAGGACGGCUUCGAACUCAUGUUGGAAAAAAUGGCAGUACACACAAUCAAGCGUGGAUUAAGUAUGAGGCUUUUGUGAAUCAAAAACAAAAUAUUGAUAGUGUUCUCUUUAAAAAUUCGAAGAGAACAAAAGAUGAUUACCGAGUUCAUUUGAAUGCAUCAAUUGAUUGUGUUCGAUUACUUUUACGGCAAGAGCUUUCAUUUCGUAGAAAUGAUGAAUUUGAAGAUUCAAGAAAUCAAGGGAAUUUUCUUGAACUGUUGAAGUGGUUAUGUGAUCAUAAUAAUGAGAUUAAGGCUUCUUGUUUGAAAAAUGCUCCCAAAAAUCUUCAAUUGAUAUCACCUAGUGUUCAAAAGGAUAUUGUGAGUGCUAUUGCAUUUGAAACACUUGAUAUUAUUAUGAAAGAUAUUGAUGAUGGGUUGUUUUCUGUUCUUGUUGAUGAAUCUCGUGAUGUUUCAGUGAAGGAGCAGAUGUCAGUUGUUUUACGUUAUGUGAAUAAGAAAGGGCAAGUAAUGAAACGUUUUAUCGGCGUUGAACAUGUGGCUAGUACUACAGCUCUCUCACUUAAGGAUGCCAUUGAACACUUUAAUUUAAGUAUAUCUAGCUUAAGAGGUCAAGGCUACGAUGAGGCAAGUAAUAUUCGAGGUGAGUAUAAUGGUCUUAAAGUACUUAUUUUGAAAGAGAAUCCGAGUGCUUUCUAUAUUCAUUGCUUUGCUCAUCAGCUGCAACUAGCUCUUGUAGCUGUGGCAAACAAACAUGCAAAGAUUGAAAUGUUCUUUACUCUAGUGAAUAAAGUGGUGAAUUUUGUUGGAGGAUCCACUAAGCGGUGUGAUCUUCUUCGAGAGAAGAAGAGGCUUGAAGUUGUUGAAUCAUUGAAUUUUGGUGAAAUCUCAAGUGGAAAGGGACUUAAUCAAGAAACUAAUCUUCAGCGACCCGGUGAUACUUGUUGGGGCUCUCGCUAUAGUUCUUUACUUAGCUUGAUUCUCAUGUUUUCAGCUACAGUUGAUGUCAUUGAGAUGAUUACCACUGAUGACUCUAGUUUUGGACAGAAAGGUAAAGCUCGUAUUCUAUUAGGAUUUAUGUUGACAUUUGAUCAUUCUGCAUCUCACGGAAAAGGUAUUGGGUAUUUCAGAUGAGUUGUCAAAAUCAUUACAAAGAAGAUAUUAGGACAUUGUUAAUGCUAUGAAAUUGGUGAAAAUAUGUAAAGAAUGGCUCCAAACAACGAGGGACAAUGAAUGAGACUCAUUUUUACAAAUAUUUUCUUGUUUUUGCGAAAGGCACAACAUUGAUGUUCCCAACAUGGAUGAUAUGUUUAUACCUCUAGGUCCCUCAUGGCGUAUCAAUCAAGGAAUAACAAAUGUACGUCAUUUUCGUGUGGAUUUCUUCUAUGCUAUCAUCGAUCUGCAAAUUCAAGAGUUGAAUGAUCGUUUCUCUGAGGCAAAUGGCAACUUACUCCUUUGUAUUGCAUGCUUAUGUCUGGAAAAUUCAUUUUCUACUUUUGACAAGGACAAGUUACUUCAAUUGUGUGAGUAUUAUCCCAAUGAUUUUAAACCAGUAGAGAUCUUAACACUUGAAGAGCAACUUCAAACAUAUAUUAUUGAUAUGCGCACUCACAAAGAUUUUGAAGGGUUACGAAGCCUUAAUGAUCUUGCGGAAAAGUUGGUAUUAACCAAAAAAAAAAAAAUGAUGUAUAUCCAUUGGUUUACA